Molecule: long non-coding RNA, 283 nt
Filed under: Gossypium barbadense (sea-island cotton)
Lineage: Eukaryota; Viridiplantae; Streptophyta; Magnoliopsida; Malvales; Malvaceae
Description: long non-coding RNA (GBAR_LNC017657)
Source: RNAcentral
GAGAAUUCAUUAUCUCAAUUGGGGUAGAUUGUGAGGUGAUAAAUCUCGAGGUGGGCUUGGCAUCAGAAAAAUUUGAAAUCAUGGAAAAUCAUAAACAAUCAAAAUUGGCUUAUCCAAGAAACACUGGUUAAAAAAUAUUGUUGCAAUGAAAACUUUUUGCAAUAACGAAACCAGGUAAUUCUUGGGUGUGGAAGAGUAUCAUAAGUGGAAAGGAAAUGAUCAAACAAGGAAUACAAUGGCGAAGGACGAACCGAGUGCGAGACGAGAAAAAUGCUUCGAAAAG